Molecule: long non-coding RNA, 914 nt
Filed under: Mytilus galloprovincialis (Mediterranean mussel)
Lineage: Eukaryota; Metazoa; Mollusca; Bivalvia; Mytilida; Mytilidae
Source: RNAcentral
UGGUAAAAUAUUUCAAAAAAUUAAGUUUGAAGAUAAUUCGUCAUUUUUUGGUCACGUGGUAUAUUUCCAAAAGUCACGUGACUGUUGGAGAAAAAGUGAAAAAAAUACGAAAUCCUUGGGCAAAAAGUCGUGCAGAGACAUAUUGGUGGGCUAAUAGGGUCAGGUUUUGAUGGAAACACAAUGCCUCGAGUCUGUUGAAGCCAUAUAAGUUAUCAUAGUGGUAUAAAUAGACGCAUAACGUGCUAUAGGCCUUGAAAUAUCGAUGUCCGUAACAUUCAAAAUAAUUGAUUUUAGACGCUCUUUUUGUCCGAUUUCAAACUUGGACCCUAGUUAUUUGUCUAAUUCGUUUUCAAUCAAUCAGCAACCUAAACUUUGUUUUUACAAGGAAAAUUCAUUGAAUUACCAAUGCUAGCUCGAUCUGGGACACCCUUGACCGAGCCCGAUGGAGCAAAGGGGGUAAAAAAAGGGGGGGGGGGGGGGGUGGGGGGGGGGGGGGCAAUUUUGCACACACAUUCUUUUAAAAAAAAAUUCGUAGGUUUCCUUUUUGAAAUUGAAAGUAAAGUUAAGUUAAGUUACAUUUAAUAUAGGAAAUUAUUUUUCCAACUCCGGCAGUGAGAUUCGAACUCUCAAUCUUAGCGCCUUGGAUAGAUCAGCGUACCCCUGCGCCACUGGCAUUGUAGUGAAUUUAUCGAAAUUUAAGUACUUAAGUCUACUACUACGAAAGAAAUGAAAAAAAAAAAAUAAUACAAAGAUUCUCACCCAGUUUGUUUUCUUUUUGGAAUUAUGUGUUCAGAUGAUAAUUUUUUGUUGUCAAAUGCAUGAUUUUUACGCAAAUCUAGGAGGAAUCCACUCUUUAAACUGUCAUUUUUUCAUUGAAAUAUACAUGUUUCUUUAUUCAAACAAAAGUGUUUUCA